GAAUAAGAAGCAAUUUAAAGCAAUUAGUUUCGACCUAAUAACUUGGUAUUAAUUUACCCUUAUUCU
RNAcentral lists this transfer RNA (66 nucleotides) under Rhabdoblattella disparis. Its description in RNAcentral is "tRNA-Arg". Lineage: Eukaryota; Metazoa; Arthropoda; Insecta; Blattodea; Blaberidae. The record is from RNAcentral.